CAGCAGUACUACUAGCAACAGCUUAAAACUCAAAGGACUUGGCGGUGCUUUAUAUCCUUCUAGAGGAGCCUGUUCUAUAAUCGAUAAACCCCGAUAAACCUCACCAAUUCUUGCUAAUACAGUCUAUAUACCGCCAUCUUCAGCAAACAAAAAAUUAGAUU
This 161-nucleotide ribosomal RNA is filed under the name Bos taurus (domestic cattle). RNAcentral's name for it is "partial small subunit ribosomal RNA". The record is from RNAcentral. Lineage: Eukaryota; Metazoa; Chordata; Mammalia; Artiodactyla; Bovidae.